CUUCUUGGGGCAGGGUGAGAUUCCCGACCGGCGGUUAUAGCCCGCGAGCUGCAAAUCAGCUGAUUCUGUGAAAUUCAGAAGCCGACAGUAUAGUCUGGAUGGAAAAGAA
This 109-nucleotide non-coding RNA is filed under the name uncultured Eubacterium sp. Its description in RNAcentral is "FMN riboswitch (RFN element)". It matches the Rfam family "FMN riboswitch aptamer (RFN element)". Rfam says of the family: The RFN element is a highly conserved domain that is found frequently in the 5'-untranslated regions of prokaryotic mRNAs that encode for flavin mononucleotide (FMN) biosynthesis and transport proteins. Lineage: Bacteria; Bacillati; Bacillota; Clostridia; Eubacteriales; Eubacteriaceae. The record is from RNAcentral.